UGCUUGUCUCAAAGAUUAAGCCAUGCAUGUCUAUGCACAAGCCGAAUACGGUGAAGCCGCGAAUGGCUCAUUACAACAGCCACUGUUUACUUGAUUCUGAUUAUCCUACUGGAUAACUGUGGUAAUUCUAGAGCUAAUACAUGCAACCAAGCUCCGACCGUAAGGGACGAGCGCAUUUAUUAGAACAAAACCAAUCGGGCUUCGGCCUGAGGUUUGGUGAAUCUGAAUAACUGAGCUGAUCGCAUGGUCUUUGUACCGGCGACGCAUCUUUCAAGUGUCUGCCUUAUCAACUUUCGAUGGUAGUUUAUGUGCCUACCAUGGUUGUAACGGGUAACGGAGAAUAAGGGUUCGACUCCGGAGAGGGAGCCUGAGAAACGGCUACCACAUCCRAGGAAGGCAGCAGGCA
RNAcentral lists this ribosomal RNA (406 nucleotides) under Nematoda environmental sample. RNAcentral's name for it is "SSU rRNA". It matches the Rfam family "Eukaryotic small subunit ribosomal RNA", at positions 29 to 436 of the family's 1831-position model. The record is from RNAcentral. Lineage: Eukaryota; Metazoa; Nematoda.